UAUUUUUUGUUAUGCAUUGUCGUUUUCUUUUACUUUAUUUGUGUAUUAUUCAGGGUAAUUUGCUUAAUCAUUUAUAGAAUUAUUGCGUAAGACAUUUCUCAGCUAUACAAUGUAAAAAAAUAGUUGUAUAAUAUGUGUUUUAAAAUCUGGCCGGUCAGAUUAAGAGUAAUUCAGAGUAAGAGAAUUUUCAUGGCUAAAUUAUUUUGGACAAAGAAAGGUUCAGGACCCACGCCACGACUUCAAAAACAUUUGUUGCAACUUCUGAAAAACGAAUACCAAGGACUGUCUAAGCCGAAACUAUUACACAACACAAAACAAAGCUAUUAAAAAAGUUUAAUUAUGGAAA
This is a long non-coding RNA of Leptidea sinapis, 346 nucleotides long. RefSeq lists it as uncharacterized. The transcript has 2 exons. NCBI's taxonomy places the organism in Eukaryota, Metazoa, Arthropoda, Insecta, Lepidoptera, Pieridae. The record is from RefSeq and is a predicted model, not a curated record.